Molecule: ribosomal RNA, 387 nt
Filed under: uncultured bacterium
Lineage: Bacteria
Description: bacterial SSU rRNA
Rfam family: Bacterial small subunit ribosomal RNA
Source: RNAcentral
AGUGAACGCUGGCGGCAGGCCUAACACAUGCAAGUCGAGCGGCAGCGGGUCCCCGCGAGGGGAUGCCGGCGAGCGGCGGACGGGUGAGGAACACAUCGGAAUCUGCCUGGUUGUGGGGGAUAACGUAGGGAAACUUACGCUAAUACCGCAUGCGACCCUGAGUCGACGGACUGGGGGUGAAAGUGAGGGACCUUCGGGCCUCACGCGACCAGAUGAGCCGAUGUCGGAUAGCUAGUUGGCGGGGUAACGGCCCGCCAAGGCGACGAUCCGUAGCUGGUCUGAGAGGAUGAUCAGCCACACUGGGACUGAGACACGGCCCAGACUCCUACGGAGGCAGCAGUGGGGAAUCUUGGACAAUGGGCGCAAGCCUGAUCCAGCCAUGCCGCG